This 301-nucleotide unclassified non-coding RNA is filed under the name uncultured fungus. Its description in RNAcentral is "partial contains 5.8S ribosomal RNA and internal transcribed spacer 2". The stretch from base 1 to 133 matches the Rfam family "5.8S ribosomal RNA", at positions 22 to 154 of the family's 154-position model. Lineage: Eukaryota; Fungi. The record is from RNAcentral.
UGGUUCUGGCAUCGAUGAAGAACGCAGCGAAAUGCGAUAAGUAAUGUGAAUUGCAGAAUUCAGUGAAUCAUCGAAUCUUUGAACGCACAUUGCGCCCUUUGGUAUUCCGAAGGGCAUGCCUGUUCGAGCGUCAUUAAAACCUCAAGUAAUCUUGGUAUUGAGCUCUGUCGGUGUCGACAAGCUUGAAAUUGAGCUUUGGACUUGAUAGUGUUCAGCUGCUGUGAAAAUUGAGCUGCUCCCUUUCAAUCAUCCAUAGACCUCUCUCUUAAUUAACCUCGAAUCAGGUAGGGAUACCCGCUGA